Molecule: long non-coding RNA, 301 nt
Organism: Pecten maximus
Lineage: Eukaryota; Metazoa; Mollusca; Bivalvia; Pectinida; Pectinidae
Exons: 3
Source: RefSeq, a predicted model, not a curated record
CCACUCACGGAAUACCAUCGACAAACUGGGAUCAGAAUAUCAAAUUUCGUCUAGCUUUUGGCGACUUAUGAUACCCCUUUCACCGGCAAACACUGAAUUAUCGGACAACAUGAAAUCAGGGACUAAAUUCACCAGCAUUCAUGAUCCUCGGACCACCCGGCCCCUACGCACAGCCGAUUUAUAAAUGUUGCAUCUUUCAAUCAGUGUCAAUCCGGAAGAAGAACCCUGAUCAGCUCCUGGAAAAAUCAGUGUUCUUGCAGUAUUGUCAGUCAAAUCUCAAGGAAAGGAUCCCAGAAGAGGA